UUAGAAUUGAGACCGGCUCUGAUGGCUUCAAUAGCAUUGGAGCUGGUCUCCCCUCCUUUCUUUCCUUGUUUUUCUUUUUUGUUAGAUGUGUAUCAUCUGGCCUUCUUCUCUUGAUAGCCAGAGUCUGACGUUUUGUUGAUGAUAUGGGAUUAGGAGAGGUUCUGAGUCUCAGAUUCGAUUGUCUUCUAUCAUCUUGCACUGAGGUCGGAGCUCUGGGUCCUUCAAUCGACGGUGGGGUUUAUCUUUUUUUUUUUCUGAUUUCAUGUGAUUCAAGUAGAGAUUGUGUUUCUGUUAUGUUUCUUUUUCUGUUUAUUUUGUUCGCUGGUUCGCCGUGCUGGUUGUUUGCAGUGUUUUCUUUUCGGUUUGUUCGCUGCUUCUUUGCAUCUCUUGUUGGGGGAGGUGGCGGAGUUUCUUCGCAGUGGCUUCUCUCUUUUAUCUCCCAAACUCUUCCUCAUGUGCGGUAUGCUCCUCAAGUCAAUGUUUUAGAGUUUCACGAGAAAACGAUUUGCAGAUGAUGUUGUUGCAAGUAAUUAAUGUUGUGAUUCUGCUCACAUUUACUAGCUUGGGGUGGUCCGAUUUGGUUAAAUCCUAUCGUCAGUCUCAAGACUAAGAUCAUUUUCUAAGUUUCUACUUGCAUGUCUAAUGGAUCUUCAUCCUUUCAUGCUUCUACGCUCACUCUUUAUAAGAUCCACUUUUUCUUUUGGGUGCUCUAUAUGGACUUUUGAUGGUACCUACUGGUACUUUUUGCUGUUUUUAAUGUUUUGUUAUUACAUUUGUUUUGUUUUACCCGCAAACUGUUUUGCUA
Molecule: long non-coding RNA, 805 nt
Organism: Brassica oleracea var. oleracea
Lineage: Eukaryota; Viridiplantae; Streptophyta; Magnoliopsida; Brassicales; Brassicaceae
Exons: 2
Source: RefSeq, a predicted model, not a curated record